AUGCAGUCGAACGGCAGCGCGAGAGAGCUUGCUCUCUUGGCGGCGAGUGGCGGACGGGUGAGUAAUAUAUCGGAACGUGCCCAGUAGCGGGGGAUAACUACUCGAAAGAGUGGCUAAUACCGCAUACGCCCUACGGGGGAAAGGGGGGGAUCGCAAGACCUCUCACUAUUGGAGCGGCCGAUAUCGGAUUAGCUAGUUGGUGGGGUAAAGGCUCACCAAGGCAACGAUCCGUAGCUGGUUUGAGAGGACGACCAGCCACACUGGGACUGAGACACGGCCCAGACUCCUACGGGAGGCAGCAGUGGGGAAUUUUGGACAAUGGGGGAAACCCUGAUCCAGCCAUCCCGCGUGUAUGAUGAAGGCCUUCGGGUUGUAAAGUACUUUUGGCAGAGAAGAAAAGGUAUCCCCUAAUACGGGAUACUGCUGACGGUAUCUGCAGAAUAAGCACCGGCUAACUACGUGCCAGCAGCCGCGGUAAUACGUAGGGUGCAAGCGUUAAUCGGAAUUACUGGGCGUAAAGCGUGUGUAGGCGGUUCGGAAAGAAAGAUGUGAAAUCCCAGGGCUCAACCUUGGAACUGCAUUUUUAACUGCCGAGCUAGAGUAUGUCAGAGGGGGGUAGAAUUCCACGUGUAGCAGUGAAAUGCGUAGAUAUGUGGAGGAAUACCGAUGGCGAAGGCAGCCCCCUGGGAUAAUACUGACGCUCAGACACGAAAGCGUGGGGGAGCAAACAGGAUUAGAUACCCUGGUAGUCCACGCCCUAAACGAUGUCAACUAGCUGUUGGGGCCGUUAGGCCUUAGUAGCGCAGCUAACGCGUGAAGUUGACCGCCUGGGGAGUACGGUCGCAAGAUUAAAACUCAAGGAAUUGACGGGGACCCCGCACAAGCGGUGGAUGAUG
RNAcentral lists this ribosomal RNA (896 nucleotides) under Alcaligenes faecalis. RNAcentral's name for it is "bacterial SSU rRNA". It matches the Rfam family "Bacterial small subunit ribosomal RNA", at positions 55 to 941 of the family's 1533-position model. Lineage: Bacteria; Pseudomonadati; Pseudomonadota; Betaproteobacteria; Burkholderiales; Alcaligenaceae. The record is from RNAcentral.